AACAACGCUGGCGGCGUGCCUAACACAUGCAAGUCGCACGAGAAAGGGACUUCGGUCCUGAGUACAGUGGCGCACGGGUGAGUAACACGUGAAUAAUCUACCUCCGAGUGGGGAAUAACUGAGAGAAAUCUUAGCUAAUACCGCAUAACACUUACGAGUCAAAGCAGCAAUGCGCUUGGAGAGGAGUUCGCGGCAGAUUAGUUAGUUGGUAGGGUAAUGGCCACCAAGACGAUGAUCUGUAUCCGGCCUGAGAGGGCGCACGGACACACUGGAACUGAAACACGGUCCAGACUCCUACGGGAGGCAGCAGUCGGGAAUUUU
RNAcentral lists this ribosomal RNA (321 nucleotides) under uncultured bacterium. RNAcentral describes it as "bacterial SSU rRNA". It matches the Rfam family "Bacterial small subunit ribosomal RNA", at positions 32 to 365 of the family's 1533-position model. The record is from RNAcentral.